UUCUGUGAUUUUGUUAUUUUUUCAUGGAAAUCUCUCUGAUUUUGAUACCGUUGUUAUUAUUUCUAAGAUUUUAGGUUACACCCACAUCUCCUUUUCUUCAUUUCGUGACUUGGAGGAACUAAUGGGAUGAUUCUUUUCUCAUUUUUCAUUUGGUAGGUGUAGGCAUUCAUAGUUAAGAAUUUUUAAGAUAGCUGCAAUCGAAAUGAUUUCUUCGUUCCCCUAUUUUAUUUAUGAUUCAUAGCUUCUCUCGCUCACAUGAAGUGCAUGAUUAAUCCCACUGCAAAUGUUAUCAGAUUAAUCCCUUAGUUUUAGUUUGGGCCCUUUGGGGUUAUAUUGUAACUAGGAAAGAAGGAAUGGCCUAAGGACAAACAAUUAGGUACUUUUGAGAUUCAAUUGGGCGUCUUUCAUUAGAAUUUUCUUGGUACAUGACAUAUUUGGAGAUUAACCAACAUCUAUCUCAGUCUGACAGAUUCUCGCCACAACCACCUACUAACCUUCAAAAAUAUAAGGGAGGAGGAAAAAGGAAAAUCUUGGAUGACCCGUGUUCAAAUCUCUCGAAAGUGAAACGAAUUAUAUUUCAGGGGAAACAUAUAAUCUCACCGGCUUGGAUGUGUUCGUGCUCGAUGACAAUGUAAGUAACACUAACAUUUCUAGGAAAUUAUCUAAUGACCUGUGUUGGAAUCUCUCGAAAGUGGAACGAAUUAAAUUUCAUGGGGACCGAUGAUGUCAUUAGCUCGAAUGUGUUCAUGCUCGAUGACGAUGUAAGUAACACUAACAUCUCCAAGAAAUUAUGUAACUUUCAGGCCUAUUUGAGGUUUUUAUAGAGAUGGUUUUAAACUGUAUGAUCUCAUUUUUAACUUCUACUCCAGAUUAAGAGAGAGUGUACUUACUGGCAUGACUCCUUUUUGGAGAAAAAAUAGUAGAGCAGGUAAAGAGGUGAGCACCUUGCUUAAAAAAGGUAAUUUUUUGGCUGACAAUUAACAGCACAAGAAUAAGACAUUAUAAUGUGCAGAAAAAUUGAAUGCCAUGACCACUGCCUUUCUAUUUCCAUUGUUGACAACUGUCCUAUUUUCAACAUUGUAUUUAUUCAUCGAAUGUCUCAAAUGACCAUAAUCCAUAUAAUUUGCAUCCUUUUUUUUCCUGUUCUGUUGAAGAAUUGUAGAUCUAUCGAAGAACUCUAACAUAUAGAUUUCGGGUUUUGCAUCCUGUACAAAAGUGCUUUUGUUUUCUAAGUCCAAGUUAGAAUGUUAAACAAGAUAGGACACUUUGAAGUUUAGUAUAUGGUCUUCUUAGUCUGAUACAUGACCUGUCUAUAGUGUCCCCAGGAAUUCUCUACAUUGGCCGUCAAUGAAACUACCCAUCUCCUAGAAUUUUAUUUGUUGCUCUAAAUGCACUGGAAAGGACAUCAAAGAAACCAUUCAAUUACCAUGAAUGGUUUCUGCUUAUGUAUGCAUUUGAAUCUCAAAUUGUGUGUGGCCUAUUUUUAACAUUACUGAUAUGUUUUGGUUGGUUCUGCCCAGUUUUACACCAUUUGGUAUCAUAGAUUUGUGGACUCAAAGAAUGAUUUAUAUCAGAGAUGGAUUCCACGCCUAAGAAUUUACUUAUAUUGUUCUUUUUUUCUCACCCAAAGAAGUAAUUAAUUAAUUAAUUUCACUUAAUGAGUGAUAUCUUCCAAAUUCGGAGGAUGAAAAGAGGAGGGCGAAUGGUUUCAGGGAUGAAGGCUCAAGAGCGCACUACGAUACCAACCAUAGUAGUAAAUCGUAUGGAAUAAUACCUUGAUCUUUCAUUUGUCUAUUUUUUUUUGGGAGCAAAUCGUUUGGUUAGAUGUUUCUCCCUUUCUGCAAUUUCCCUAUCAUACAACAAUUGAAAUUUUAAAAUCUAUGUGCCAUAGUAAUUCGGAAAUGGAUCAUUCCAUUUGUUUUAGUUCUGAUGUUAAUUUUGUGUUAUGUUUCUCUUUCUGCAAUGUACCUAUACCUUGGCCUCCAGUUGUACAAACGCCAAAGACUCAUGCCGUAUCAGUUACUAACAACUGGAUGUAACUCCUUAGUCUACAUUUUAUUCAUUAUAAAAAAUUUCUUGCUCGCUGUGUCGGAAUCAUCAGGUUUGUAUAAGUUUUUUCCCAGUAUUUAUUGGUGGUAGCCUAUGAGCCUUCGUUGUAUGACGUUAAUGUUGUUGUUCCCUUCAUUUUUUUUCCCUUUAAUUUUCUCUUUAAACGGAUAUCUUAUAACAUUUUUUUUGAAUUAAGUAGUGAAGGUUGAUAUCAACAUUAACAGGGAGUCGGGGACUUUCUUGAAGGAAAAAUGGUAGUGUAUGUGUUGGUAAACUUUGCCAUGAACUCUAACGAAGAACCAAAAGGAAAGGUAAUUUUAUCUGUGUCUGUUUUUAGCCAAAUCAUUUUUGUGUUAAUUUUGCCAUGUCAACAUACGGAAAGGUAAACUUCGCCAUUUCCAGGAUCAACCUCAAAAGAGACUCAUGACUCAUGAGGUUGUCACUAUGCAGACGUCCUAUCUGGGGAGUCAUAUGAAUCACACAUGUCUCAACAAAAUUAGAUAUUCAGCCAUAUUAUUCCAUUAAUAUCUUAAUAAUUUUAAAUGUUUGGCAGGACCAGGAUAGUAAUGAUAACCUGGGAUUUUCAGUAUAGUGAUGAUAACCUGGGAUUUUCAGGUUCACUCAUGUUAUGGGAAGAGUGUGAAGCACUGUUGAAGAAACACGGGGACUUUAGUCUUGGAAAUGGAAGCGAAUAACAAGCAACACUAGGUGGAUAGGAUUUUGGCAGUGAAUUUCUGGCCGCAAGAUAGAAAUUAUACCAGCACAUGGAGUACCGGAAUCAAUGAAGGAGCUAGACAUAUUGGGAUGUGUGGUCGCUUCACAUUUUAGUUUAUACCUGUGUUUUUUUUCUUAAGUUAGGAUUCAUGUCUAUCUUGGCAUAUUUAAGCUGCUGUUUGUUUGGAAAAUGAUUAAAUUUUGUUAGGUCUUUGGGUUUGGGUUUUAAAUGUUGCUUCAGUUUAGCUAAAAAAAUAACGUCGCUUCCAUUUUGAGUUUUGGAGUUCACAAUAUACGUGUGGGUAUGUAAUACCAGAUGUCACCAAAGGCUUG
This is a long non-coding RNA of Papaver somniferum (opium poppy), 3096 nucleotides long. RefSeq lists it as uncharacterized. The transcript has 3 exons. The record is from RefSeq and is a predicted model, not a curated record. Lineage: Eukaryota; Viridiplantae; Streptophyta; Magnoliopsida; Ranunculales; Papaveraceae.